AUCCUUGUAGCCUUUUUCAAGGAGAAAUGCUGUUUAUAGUAAGGCAGAAGGUAGCACUCAAAACUGGGGGCACCAGCCAAGCCUGCAGCCUUGCAGAGAGCAGGCAGGCUCUCCAGGUUGGCGCAGUGUUCUCUUGCAAUGCUCUGCCAAUGAGAAAAGAGGGAGAUAAGCAAAAGAACGGCAGAGAGGGUCAUUUCCAGUGUUUUUCUGCUCUUUAACCUUGUGCUGUUGCUACGUGUUUCUUCAGAAGAGCAAAUAAGCAGCCUUGCCUGAUGGAUGUGAAGAUAAAGCGUGGCACGGUUAGCUGUUCUAAACAGGUCGCAACUUCGCGGUAAUUCAACAAAAGUCCAAUCAUUGGCCUCCAAAAUGAGUGAAGAUAUUCAUCAAAUCUGAUGAAGUUCCUAUUAAUUAGGGUUGUUAAAUACUGGUAGGGCUUCUGAUACUGUUACGAUUCGGAGGUUUAACUAACAACCCUAAUGGGGCUACUUCUUCAGGAUGUUAAUUAGAUAUGGCAAUUCCACUUACCCAUGCAGCCUCGGCACACAACCAUCACACAUCAAUAUUUAAUUUAAUUACUGAUGUUGUGGUGCAAGUCACAUCUGAUUUAAGAGAUAAAUAUGCUUAAUUAUUAAUGAGAUAAAACACAUACAGUAUGUCACCUUUUGUCAUUUGAGCUUUAUUAGGUAUUGUCAGAAAAGACAAAUGUGAACGUCAGAGAGGCUGUGACAUGGUGCUCUACAUCUCUGUAUGACUCUUGUCCUUCAGCUUACCUGAGCUCACGCUGCACUGCAAAUAAGAUAAGCAGAGCUGCAAGUGUGCAAGGCAACGUGUUGGGCAUCCUCUGCUCAGAGCUUCCCACAAGAUGCCAUUGAGAGCAAUGGACACAACGUGCAAGCACUGUGCGACGAGGUAGAGUUCUGGCAAGGAUGGCAUUGAAGAUGUGGAAUGGAGGCUCAGAAGGCAGAAGAUGUGGUCCUAUGUGAGCUCCCUUCCAGGAUCCCUUCCAGCCUCAGCCCCGCAGUGCUUCUGCUCACCGAGAGGCAGCUCAGCUCUGCGACGCUUUUAUUCCAUCACAGUAUGUUAAAUGCCCAGAUGGUUCCUGCUGACAGUGGUGCUGCUGGUAGGUUACUGCUGCCCAUCCAUUCUCCAGGCACUGCACACUUGGGGCCAUUGGGAACAACAAGGCUGUGAGACCACCAGGUCCUUCUGCUGCCAUCACCAUCGCACCUCUCCUGCUCACACUGCACCUGGUUUCCUUGUAAGCGCAUCCUGAAAUUGAGUUUUCCAGCUCCUCCCUGCAGGAUUCUGCUUUAUGCCAGUUCUUUAUGCUAUGACUAUUUUUUCUGUGUCUGGUGUAAACUUCUCCUUCCUUAGCUUCAGGUCAGUGCUUCUCAUCUGGUGUCUGCUGUCCCUCCCUCUCCUCACCCAGCUGCUCGUUCACAUUAACUGCACGAUAAUUAGAGACUGAUCCUGUCCCCUGAGCCUUUGCUUCCCCAGACUGUGUCUCCAAUCCUGCCCUCCCGCAGCAAACCCCACUGAGAUCCGCAGGUUUGGCACAUGUCCAUUUGGGGCUGCUCCUGCUUUUCUAUCUAGUUCUCAGCACACAGGUCUUUGAUAUUAUAAUGCAGGAAUGGCAGGAGACCCUGGUUAAGCAAAAACAGAACCGGCCCUCCCUCCCUUCCUCCCUCUGGGGGUUACGGGUUAUUAACAGCUUUCUUUGCUCAGCUGAGCACCACGGAGCUGCCAGGUCUCUGCCUGCAUUCCUGUCUCACAGCUUCAGAAUUCUCACCCUAUUAAAAAAGGCAGAAACGAGGCAGCUCCUGCAGCUCCCCGUCCUGCUGUGGUCGCUGAUCUGAAAGCAGUGGUUUGUGACAUCCCACUGCCCACCUCUGCUGGGUGCCCGUGGGUCAGCUCUGCUGAGGAAUAGAAACGAGUUCUGUCUUUGGCACCAUCAGUGUCUUGAACGAAGGGGUCGUUUGGGCUCGUUAGGCUCAGCUUAUUUGUAAGAAGCCCCUGUUCCUUGACUGCUGUUAGGCCUGAUUCUCAUGGGCUUCAAGCUCAUUACUCCUCUGUGCUAUCUGCUUCAAUGGUUCAUAGUUGCAGGCUUCUCCCUUUCCUGGUCAUCCCAAUGAGUAGUAAAGUUGCUUCCUGUGCUCGCUGCCCCCCCCCACUAUGCCAUCCUCUCUGGCUGCUUUUCUGGUCCCACAGACAGAAAGAACAGCUCUGGGACACUCCUCAACCCCACAGUGGGGACACAAAGCAGUGGCAGAGCCAGGUAAAGGGCUUGAUGCUUUCCAACCAGCUCUUGUUGGUUUGGGAUCUUUCCAUUUGAAGGCUUCUGGCACGUGAAGAGCCCUCCCCUGAGUUUUUCAUUCCCUUUCAAGCUGCUGCAAUAAACCCACGAGCCUCUCUUUCA
Molecule: long non-coding RNA, 2416 nt
Organism: Phasianus colchicus (ring-necked pheasant)
Lineage: Eukaryota; Metazoa; Chordata; Aves; Galliformes; Phasianidae
Source: Ensembl